This 1460-nucleotide ribosomal RNA is filed under the name metagenome. RNAcentral's name for it is "bacterial LSU rRNA". It matches the Rfam family "Bacterial large subunit ribosomal RNA", at positions 1451 to 2925 of the family's 2925-position model. The record is from RNAcentral.
UAACCGUUUGAGAAAUGGGAUGACACAGUAGGAUAAGCUAACCGCACUGUUGGUUAUGUGCGGGCAAGUAUUGAGGCAGUUCCGAUAGGCAAAUCCGUCGGAAUAAUGCUGGGGUACGAUGCGGAGCGAAAUUUAGUAGCGAAGUAGCUGAUUUCACACUGUCGAGAAAAGUCUCUAUCGAGGUUAAAGGUGCCUGUACCGCAAACCGACACAGGUGGGUGAGGAGAGUAUCCUAAGGCCAGCGAGAGAACUGUUGUUAAGGAACUCGGCAAAAUGACCCCGUAACUUAGGGAGAAGGGGUGCCUUCGAAAGAAGGCCGCAGAGAAUAGGCCCAAGCGACUGUUUACCAAAAACAUAGGUUUCUGCUAAGUCGCAAGACGAUGUAUAGGAGCUGACGCCUGCCCGGUGCUGGAAGGUUAAGGGGAUCUGUUAGAGCAAUCGAAGCAGUGAACUUAAGCCCCAGUAAACGGCGGCCGUAACAAUAACGGUCCUAAGGUAGCGAAAUUCCUUGUCGGGUAAGUUCCGACCCGCACGAAAGGCGUAACGAUUUGGGCACUGUCUCAACAACAGACUCGGUGAAAUUGUAAUACCGGUGAAGAUGCCGGUUACCUGCGACAGGACGGAAAGACCCCAUGUAGCUUUACUGUAGCUUGACAUUGAGUCUCGGUGCUACAUGUACAGGAUAGGUGGGAGACUAUGAAGCAUGGACGUCAGUCUGUGUGGAGUCAUCCUUGGGAUACCACCCUUGUAGUACUGGGAUUCUAACCAGAGGCCAUGAAUCUGGUCUUGGGACACUGUCAGGUGGACAGUUUGACUGGGGCGGUCGCCUCCCAAAAAGUAACGGAGGCGCUCAAAGGUUCUCUCAGUACGGUCGGAAAUCGUACGAAGAGUGUAAAGGCAAAAGAGAGCUUGAUUGCAAGACAUACAGGUCGAGCAAGGACGAAAGUCGGACUUAGUGAUCCGGUGGUUCCGCAUGGAAGGGCCAUCGCUCAACGGAUAAAAGCUACCCUGGGGAUAACAGGCUGAUCUCCCCCAAGAGUCCACAUCGACGGGGAGGUUUGGCACCUCGAUGUCGGCUCAUCACAUCCUGGGGCUGUAGUAGGUCCCAAGGGUUGGGCUGUUCGCCCAUUAAAGUGGUACGCGAGCUGGGUUCAGAACGUCGUGAGACAGUUCGGUCCCUAUCCGUCGCAGGCGUAGGAAAUUUGAGGAGACCUGUCCUUAGUACGAGAGGACCGGGAUGGACGUACCGCUGGUGUACCAGUUGUUCUGCCAAGGGCAUGGCUGGGUAGCUAAGUACGGAAAGGAUAAGCGCUGAAAGCAUCUAAGCGCGAAGCCCACUUCAAGAUAAGAUUUCCCACCGCAAGGUUAAGAUCCCAGGAAGACUACCUGGUUGAUAGGUCAGAGGUGUAAGUGCAGUAAUGUAUUUAGCUUACUGAUACUAAUAGAUCGAGGACUUGACC